This 465-nucleotide ribosomal RNA is filed under the name uncultured bacterium. RNAcentral's name for it is "partial 16S ribosomal RNA". It matches the Rfam family "Bacterial small subunit ribosomal RNA", at positions 29 to 507 of the family's 1533-position model. The record is from RNAcentral.
AUGAACGCUGGCGGCGUGCUUAACACAUGCAAGUCGAACGAUGAAGCCCAGCUUGCUGGGUGGAUUAGUGGCGAACGGGUGAGUAACACGUGAGUAACCUGCCCUUAACUCUGGGAUAAGCCUGGGAAACUGGGUCUAAUACCGGAUAGGAGCGUCCACCGCAUGGUGGGUGUUGGAAAGAUUUAUCGGUUUUGGAUGGACUCGCGGCCUAUCAGCUUGUUGGUGAGGUAAUGGCUCACCAAGGCGACGACGGGUAGCCGGCCUGAGAGGGUGACCGGCCACACUGGGACUGAGACACGGACCAGACUCCUACGGGAGGCAGCAGUGGGGAAUAUUGCACAAUGGGCGCAAGCCUGAUGCAGCGACGCCGCGUGAGGGAUGACGGCCUUCGGGUUGUAAACCUCUUUCAGUAGGGAAGAAGCGAAAGUGACGGUACCUGCAGAAGAAGCACCGGCUAACUACGUG